UUGAAGUGAUAGCUCAGGCGGUAGAGCAUGGGACUCUUAAUCUCGGGUUUGUGGGUUUGAGCCCCACAUUGGGUAAA
Molecule: non-coding RNA, 77 nt
Organism: Podarcis lilfordi (Lilford's wall lizard)
Lineage: Eukaryota; Metazoa; Chordata; Lepidosauria; Squamata; Lacertidae
Source: the annotation of a GenBank genome assembly